This 105-nucleotide transfer RNA is filed under the name Picea sitchensis (Sitka spruce). RNAcentral's name for it is "partial tRNA-Lys". Lineage: Eukaryota; Viridiplantae; Streptophyta; Pinopsida; Pinales; Pinaceae. The record is from RNAcentral.
UUAAUUCUACUUCGAGGAUCAGUCGUAGUCUUCCGAACUUUACCGAUGGUAUCGACGAGUUUUCUACUUCAUUCAAAUGUGUAAAAGACUUUAGUCGCACUUAAA